This 30-nucleotide non-coding RNA is filed under the name Rattus norvegicus (Norway rat). The record is from RNAcentral. Lineage: Eukaryota; Metazoa; Chordata; Mammalia; Rodentia; Muridae.
UAGAUUUUUAUAAGAGGUGAUUCAGAAUGC